AUCCUGUUGCCAGAGCCUGAGCUGCAUUAAAAAUCAGAGGACAUGACUUGAGACUGCUAUCUAUGAAAUAAAUUUGAAUACUUCUAUAGCCGCUGUUUGCAGUCCACAAUGUACAACAUCAUUCCGAUUUUCUAACCAUCAGAAAGUUGGUGUUCAACAGACAACACUACUUGGUUCAUAAUAAACAAGCCUCUACAGCUAUUGGUUCAUCACAGUGGACAAGCUCAUUGACUGUGUAAAGAUGUAGGUAUUCUUCUGGAACCUUUUCAUCUGACCUUACAGCUUUAUGAUCAACAUUUUCUGUGCACCAUUGCUUACAAAGGAAAUGGGCCAAUGUUGAACUGAACAUCUGAACUGACUGCUGAAGAUGGUACAGCAAUAAUCAUGCUUGAGAGCUGGUUUGAGGAGCUGCUGCUUCUGAAUUAUGAACUUUCACCCGGUUGACCGGAGUAGCUGCGACUAGCACACAGCGACAGUCAAAUGCAGGUUCAUACCAUGGAAAAGUCUCCCAGCCACCAAGCCAAGCUUUCAUGUUCUGCGAAGAAAGCUGUUACAAGACAAACCCUUCCCCCUAAUAAUGACUGCUAUGAGAAGGCAUCAUUUUCACAACAGUUAUAUACAAAGAGGCGAGCUAUGCAAAUGGGAGAAAUACAGAGUAUUUAUCUGAAAUACAGCUGUAAAAAUCAACAUUUGACAGCAAAGGAGCCAUAUAUCACAUGAAAAUAUUGUUUUUGAGCAGGACAGGGCAACUGAAGAUAAUAUGGCUUUUGUGUAACACACCCUGUCUCUGAGGACGUAAUUAAGAAGUUGUAUAACAAAACUGAAAGCCCUGUAAGACACAGCCGGAGUUCCAACUUGUGGAUAAUUGCCAUUGCUGUGGAGGAUGUAUGAGGUAACAUGAUUUGCUUCAUAACAGAGCUUUUAUGAGGCUUGUUUGGAGCAGAAAUUUCUACCAGCCCUAUUAGAACAAGUGCAAGCAUAUAGUAGAAGCCAUAGAAUACUGAUAAAUAGCUGUACAAUUAUUUAUACAAGGGCUGAAUCUUGACUGAAAACCCUGUGCACCUUGGAGGAGAGGAAGAAAGUAUUUCCAGUUUCAAACCUAUAAAUCUUUCAUGCCUCUAAAUGUGAUGUUUUGUGAGGCAGUCUGAAAGAGGUACUGUCUUGAUGUUGAUGAAGUGCUGUGAUAAAGGAUUCACUUCCUAUGUAUCUAUGAGAUAAAUCUGAACAAUAAUUAUUUCAAAGGCUUGAAAGUAUCAGGUGUGUAAUUCUGACAAGAAGAAUAUGAUGAAAUUCAAAAAGUUGAAAAAUUCUUUUCUCAUUUCACCAUGAGGAAGGAAUCACUGACAUAUCAAACACAACAAAACUCUAUGAAUACAUAUAGGAACUGACUGGAAUCUAGGAAGUGUAUUAUGAGAAAAUAACAUAUGUACAAGGAUUUGGAUAAUCUAUCUGGAUGCUGGUAAAAAAAUAACCUGUUUACUUAAUCAUUAAAUACUGCUUUUCCAUACUUUCA
Molecule: long non-coding RNA, 1513 nt
Organism: Columba livia (rock pigeon)
Lineage: Eukaryota; Metazoa; Chordata; Aves; Columbiformes; Columbidae
Exons: 4
Source: RefSeq, a predicted model, not a curated record